GUUUUUUUUCCUUUCCUCCCGGUUUCUACCGCUUUACGAUUCGUUUUUUCCUUUUCCUUUUACAGAUCACCAUCGUCUCUCAUUCAUAGAUUCAUGGAGUUCUCGUUGUUAAGGUAGGAUUUCGUGGUCGCCUUUCGCGGAGUGCAAUUUCUUUUCAGCUUUUCCGGUAUUGGUUUGAAGAUAGUUCGGAAAUGGCGACCACAAAUCCAUUUGAUUUGUUGGGAGAUGACGACGCCGAGGACCCAUCGCAGCUAAUUGCCGCCAAGCAUGCCGUCGCGGCGGCGCCUAAGAAAGGUUCUGAUCAUCCUCAGGCCAAACAGGCGGCUGCGGCAGCUAAAUUGAACAAACCUGCUAAUCUUCCUUCCAAGCCUCUUCCACCUGCUCAGGCUGUAAGGGAAGCAAAGAAUGAAGGUGGUCGUGGAGGUCGUGGUAGUGGGCGUGGUGGAGGUGGACGUGGAUAUUGGCGAGGGCGUGGC
RNAcentral lists this unclassified non-coding RNA (476 nucleotides) under Hevea brasiliensis (rubber tree). Lineage: Eukaryota; Viridiplantae; Streptophyta; Magnoliopsida; Malpighiales; Euphorbiaceae. The record is from RNAcentral.